Long non-coding RNA from Aedes aegypti (yellow fever mosquito), 707 nucleotides. RefSeq lists it as uncharacterized. The record is from RefSeq and is a predicted model, not a curated record. The transcript has 2 exons. NCBI's taxonomy places the organism in Eukaryota, Metazoa, Arthropoda, Insecta, Diptera, Culicidae.
GUGGGGGGAGGAAAAUGACAGCUGGUGAGUCGGCGAGCUGGCGAGUUUGUUAAUGCAAUUUUCCCCUCCAUCGGUUGCUAUCGUCUCCAUAGUGCCAUAAUAUUUAUUAUUACGUGUUGAAAAUUCAAAAGGAACAUUUUCUGCAGAUACCAGCAACAACUUCAGAAUACAGGAUGCUGGUAUUCCACCACGCGAGAAACUAAUUGGAAAUAAAACAUUCCUAAUGUGAGGAUGACACAGGCGAUUGCGUAGCGCAGCUCAAGAUUCGUUCGGCUCGAAAAGGACCGUUUCAAUUACGGAGGAUAUUAUCGCGUCUCCAGUUGAAAUCCAGAACUAUCGACACGCGAAAACCGAUUUUUCCCUAAAUUUAUACGUCGAACCUAACGUCGGGCAUAGUGCGCUGAACAGCGGAUCUGGUGUGUUACACAGCGCACCUUGUCCGACGUAGCUCCGACGCAUGGAUUUGGAUAAUAUCCGUUUUCGCGUGUCGAAAUUUCCGGUUUUCAACUGUGUGAAUAAUAUGUACUAGAUAAAACUAAUUAAAUUUAUCAAUUCCAGAUGCUUCUUCACAACGUGCGUUUUGAAGAUGGGAAUUUGAGCAAACCAAUCAUUUGCUAUUAUGGAGAAAUGUGAUAUUCCCGUGAAAUUCCAGUGGUAUUUAUGAAUUGUGUUGAAAGUGUACGAAUAAAAACUCUCUGUUAGAAAAG